RNAcentral lists this unclassified non-coding RNA (337 nucleotides) under soil metagenome. RNAcentral describes it as "partial contains 5.8S ribosomal RNA, internal transcribed spacer 2, and large subunit ribosomal RNA". The stretch from base 1 to 120 matches the Rfam family "5.8S ribosomal RNA", at positions 35 to 154 of the family's 154-position model. The record is from RNAcentral.
GAUGAAGAACGCAGCGAAAUGCGAUAAGUAAUGUGAAUUGCAGAAUUCAGUGAAUCAUCGAAUCUUUGAACGCACAUUGCGCCCGCCAGUAUUCUGGCGGGCAUGCCUGUUCGAGCGUCAUUUUCGCCAUCAAGCUCUGCUUGUGUUGGGGUCCUGCGGCUGCCCGCAGGCCCUGAAACCCAGUGGCGGGCUCGCUAGUCACACCGAGCGCAGUAGCACAUCUCGCUCAGGGCGUGCGGCGGGUUCUUGCCGUAAAACAACCCCCCCUUUUCACCAAGGUUGACCUCGGAUCAGGUAGGAAUACCCGCUGAACUUAAGCAUAUCAAUAAGCGGAGGA